RNAcentral lists this small RNA (29 nucleotides) under Bombyx mori (domestic silkworm). RNAcentral's name for it is "piRNA piR-bmo-2228537". Lineage: Eukaryota; Metazoa; Arthropoda; Insecta; Lepidoptera; Bombycidae. The record is from RNAcentral.
GAGUCGUUUAGUAGGUGGGUCCUAAAAUC